UGUUAAGUGCUAGACACAGGAAGAAGUUCACUGGCAGCCAUUGAUAAAACUAAAUGUUACCAAAUCCCCUGGCCCAGAUUGCAUUCACUUAAGAGUUCUUAAAGAGCUCAAGCAUGAAGGUGCUGAUCUUCUCACACUUUUAAUAUACAGCUUAUCCCUGAAAUCAGGCUCCAUCCCUGAAGACUGGAAGAUGGCCAAUGUGCACCAAUCUUUAAGAAAGGAUCCUAGGGGGGACCGAGGA
Long non-coding RNA from Sphaerodactylus townsendi, 241 nucleotides. RefSeq lists it as uncharacterized. The record is from RefSeq and is a predicted model, not a curated record. NCBI's taxonomy places the organism in Eukaryota, Metazoa, Chordata, Lepidosauria, Squamata, Sphaerodactylidae. The transcript is spliced from 3 exons.